This 229-nucleotide unclassified non-coding RNA is filed under the name Hevea brasiliensis (rubber tree). The record is from RNAcentral. Lineage: Eukaryota; Viridiplantae; Streptophyta; Magnoliopsida; Malpighiales; Euphorbiaceae.
GAAAAAGUAAAGAAUGCAUCACAUAACUAGUAUUCUAAGAAAAAUAGUGAAUACUUUGAUAAGGAAAUUUGUUGGGUGGUAUAUAUACAUAAACAGAUCAGGAAAAGAGUAAACAUGAGACAAUUAUGAAAAGUCAAGGAACUUGUGACUUUAAAGAGGAGUAGCCUUUAAGUAGGAAACAAUCUCCAUAAAAUCUCUGUUUUUAGUUGUUAUGGAAAGUCAAUCACUA